GACGAACGCUGGCGGCGUGCUUAACACAUGCAAGUCGAACGGUAAGGCCCUUCGGGGUACACGAGUGGCGAACGGGUGAGUAACACGUGGGUGAUCUGCCCUGCACUUCGGGAUAAGCCUGGGAAACUGGGUCUAAUACCGGAUAGGACUCCUGGCUUCAUGGUUGGGGGUGGAAAGCUUUUGCGGUGUGGGAUGGGCCCGCGGCCUAUCAGCUGGUUGGUGGGGUAAUGGCCUACCAAGGCGACGACGGGUAGCCGGCCUGGGAGGGUGACCGGUCACACUGGGACUGAGAUAAGGCCCAGACUCCUACGGGAGGCAGCAGUGGGGAAUAUUGCACAAUGGGCGCAAGCCUGAUGCAGCGACGCCGCGUGAGGGAUGACGGCCUUCGGGUUGUAAACCUCUUUCAGCUAUGACGAAGCGCAAGUGACGGUAGUAGCAGAAGAAGGACCGGCCAACUACGUGCCAGCAGCCGCCGUAA
Molecule: ribosomal RNA, 478 nt
Filed under: uncultured bacterium
Lineage: Bacteria
Description: partial 16S ribosomal RNA
Rfam family: Bacterial small subunit ribosomal RNA
Source: RNAcentral